RNAcentral lists this transfer RNA (75 nucleotides) under Betaproteobacteria bacterium UKL13-2. RNAcentral describes it as "tRNA-Thr". It matches the Rfam family "tRNA". Rfam says of the family: Transfer RNA (tRNA) molecules are approximately 80 nucleotides in length. Their secondary structure includes four short double-helical elements and three loops (D, anti-codon, and T loops). Further hydrogen bonds mediate the characteristic L-shaped molecular structure. tRNAs have two regions of fundamental functional importance: the anti-codon, which is responsible for specific mRNA codon recognition, and the 3' end, to which the tRNAs corresponding amino acid is attached (by aminoacyl-tRNA synthetases). tRNAs cope with the degeneracy of the genetic code in two manners: having more than one tRNA (with a specific anti-codon) for a particular amino acid; and 'wobble' base-pairing, i.e. permitting non-standard base-pairing at the 3rd anti-codon position. RNAcentral also lists the same sequence under 3 other names. The record is from RNAcentral. Lineage: Bacteria; Pseudomonadati; Pseudomonadota; Betaproteobacteria.
GCCCGCAUAGCUCAGGGGUAGAGCAACCGCCUUGUAAGCGGUAGGUCGUCAGUUCGAAUCCGACUGUGGGCACCA